Molecule: unclassified non-coding RNA, 314 nt
Filed under: plant metagenome
Description: partial contains 5.8S ribosomal RNA, internal transcribed spacer 2, and large subunit ribosomal RNA
Rfam family: 5.8S ribosomal RNA (bases 1-105)
Source: RNAcentral
GAAAUGCGAUAAUUAAUGUGAAUUGCAGAAUUCAGUGAAUCAUCGAGUCUUUGAACGCACAUUGCGCCCCCUGGUAUUCCGGGGGGCAUGCCUGUCCGAGCGUCAUUGCUGCCCUCAAGCACGGCUUGUGUGUUGGGCUUCCGUCCCUGGCAACGGGGACGGGCCCAAAAGGCAGUGGCGGCACCAUGUCUGGUCCUCGAGCGUAUGGGGCUUUGUCACCCGCUCCCGUAGGUCCAGCUGGCAGCUAGCCUCGCAACCAAUCUUUUUAACCAGGUUGACCUCGGAUCAGGUAGGGAUACCCCCUGAACUUAAGC